CCAAGAAAUGAAAUAUUUUCAUGUAUGGUUUCGACCCAUAAUUUGGUAUUUUUUUACCCUUGUG
This 64-nucleotide transfer RNA is filed under the name Octopus variabilis. RNAcentral's name for it is "tRNA-Arg". The record is from RNAcentral. Lineage: Eukaryota; Metazoa; Mollusca; Cephalopoda; Octopoda; Octopodidae.